UAAAACAAACAUAGCAACAUCAGGUACUUCCUGGCCUCUCUGAGGACAGUGGUACUGUUACAGGUAUAUAUACCUCAAACAAUGGGGAAUUUGCAGUGCUAGAAGACAAGCUCAAUAAACCCUGUUACUGAAAAUGGGAAUUCCCUUCUGAUGUUGGCAGUCAGGAGAUGCUAGAACUUAUUCAUUUGUUCCCCAGGGUUAUUUCUCAAAAGCCAAAGCCUCACUUUGUUCAGCUAGAUCUGGGAGCAAUUGCUGAUCAACAAUAUCAUGAGUAGCCACCAAACAUCAGCUGCCAUGCAACCUCACAAAAUAUAGCCAUUUUGGAACAGGGAGAAUAUGGGUUGGAUUGAAUAAAAAAAAUGCAGGAUGGAAGGGAUCUUGGUGGUUUCGAUUCAAACUUUGGUGGUGCUGCUUGUUUGGGCAAGUCUAAUAGUAGCUGCCAAUCACCCUCUUCUGUUUAUCUGUCCUUGUGCAUUUUGCUCACAAGCAUUUUUGCUGCAACAAAGGAGAAACAAACAGACACCUGUCAUUUGGAUAUAUGCAAAUGAUGGAAGAUGAGAUGGCCAUCCUUUAUUAAUUUGGAAUCUAAGCACAUAAAUACAGCUCAAGGAUUAGAGAAGCUGCUAUGGGCCAUUCCAAUCAAUGGUGUACUAUGAUAUUGUUGUAAAUGACAUCAGUGUGGAAAAAGAAUCAAUGCUGUUGUUGGGUUUAUCAAGUCAAGAGGGAGAUCAGGAUCUGGAGAUAGGUAUUCAGGCAUCCAUACAGA
This 766-nucleotide small RNA is filed under the name Cryptococcus neoformans H99. RNAcentral describes it as "Cryptococcus neoformans var. grubii H99 hypothetical RNA". Lineage: Eukaryota; Fungi; Basidiomycota; Tremellomycetes; Tremellales; Cryptococcaceae. The record is from RNAcentral.